This 896-nucleotide ribosomal RNA is filed under the name uncultured Bacteroidota bacterium. RNAcentral describes it as "bacterial SSU rRNA". It matches the Rfam family "Bacterial small subunit ribosomal RNA", at positions 1 to 890 of the family's 1533-position model. The record is from RNAcentral. Lineage: Bacteria; Pseudomonadati; Bacteroidota.
GGAUCCAGACUUUGAUUAUGGCUCAGGAUGAACGCUAGCUACAGGCUUAACACAUGCAAGUCGAGGGGCAGCGGGAUUGAAGCUUGCUUCAAUUGCCGGCGACCGGCGCACGGGUGAGUAACGCGUAUCCAACCUUCCGUACACUCAGGGAUAGCCUUUCGAAAGAAAGAUUAAUACCUGAUAGUAUCUUAAGCACACAUGUAAUUAAGAUUAAAGAUUUAUCGGUGUACGAUGGGGAUGCGUUCCAUUAGGUAGUAGGCGGGGUAACGGCCCACCUAGCCAACGAUGGAUAGGGGUUCUGAGAGGAAGGUCCCCCACAUUGGAACUGAGACACGGUCCAAACUCCUACGGGAGGCAGCAGUGAGGAAUAUUGGUCAAUGGACGAGAGUCUGAACCAGCCAAGUAGCGUGAAGGAUGAGGGUCCUACGGAUUGUAAACUUCUUUUAUAAGGGAAUAAACCCUCCCACGUGUGGGAGCUUGUAUGUACCUUAUGAAUAAGCAUCGGCUAACUCCGUGCCAGCAGCCGCGGUAAUACGGAGGAUGCGAGCGUUAUCCGGAUUUAUUGGGUUUAAAGGGAGCGCAGACGGGUCGUUAAGUCAGCUGUGAAAGUUUGGGGCUCAACCUUAAAAUUGCAGUUGAUACUGGCGUCCUUGAGUGCGGUUGAGGUGUGCGGAAUUCGUGGUGUAGCGGUGAAAUGCUUAGAUAUCACGAAGAACUCCGAUUGCGAAGGCAGCACACUAAUCCGUAACUGACGUUCAUGCUCGAAAGUGUGGGUAUCAAACAGGAUUAGAUACCCUGGUAGUCCACACGGUAAACGAUGGAUACUCGCUGUUGGCGAUAUACUGUCAGCGGCUUAGGGAAAGCGUUAAGUAUCCCACCUGGGGAGUACGCCGUCA